Camarhynchus parvulus is the source of this 161-nucleotide small nuclear RNA. Its record names the gene U1. It matches the Rfam family "U1 spliceosomal RNA". Rfam says of the family: U1 is a small nuclear RNA (snRNA) component of the spliceosome (involved in pre-mRNA splicing). Its 5' end forms complementary base pairs with the 5' splice junction, thus defining the 5' donor site of an intron. There are significant differences in sequence and secondary structure between metazoan and yeast U1 snRNAs, the latter being much longer (568 nucleotides as compared to 164 nucleotides in human). NCBI's taxonomy places the organism in Eukaryota, Metazoa, Chordata, Aves, Passeriformes, Thraupidae. The record is from Ensembl.
AUGCUUAUCUGGCAGGGAGGCAUUCUGAUUGUGAAGGUGGUUUUUGAGAGGGAGCCUCAUUACUAGCACUUCAGGUAGUCUGACACCUGCAACUUCCCCAGAUCCAGGGAACUUGACUUUAAAAUUUGUGAUGUGGGAGAUUGUUUUUGUUCUUUAUCCUG